This 330-nucleotide ribosomal RNA is filed under the name uncultured eukaryote. RNAcentral's name for it is "partial 18S ribosomal RNA". It matches the Rfam family "Eukaryotic small subunit ribosomal RNA", at positions 1470 to 1796 of the family's 1831-position model. The record is from RNAcentral.
CCCUUAGAUGUUCUGGGCCGCACGCGUGCUACACUGAUGCAUUCAACGAGUCUAAAACCUGGUCUGAUAGGGCUGGGUAAUCUUUCGAAAGUGCAUCGUGAUUGGGAUAGAUGAUUGCAAUUCUUCAUCUUCAACGAGGAAUGCCUAGUAAACGCAAGUCAUCAGCUUGCAUUGAUUACGUCCCUGCCCUUUGUACACACCGCCCGUCGCUCCUACCGAUUGAAUGAUCCGAUGAAUACCAUGGAUUGAGAGUACGAAUAGGUUCGCUUAUUUCUGCUGCUCGAGAAGUGGAGUAAAUCUUAUCAUUUAGAGGAAGGAGAAGUCGUAACA